CCCUUAGAUGUUCUGGGCCGCACGCGCGCUACACUGAUGCAUUCAACGAGUCUAAAACCUGCUCUGAUAGGGGUGGGUAAUCUUUUGAAUGUGCAUCGUGAUUGGGAUAGAUGAUUGCAAUUUUUCAUCUUCAACGAGGAAUGCCUAGUAAACGCAAGUCAUCAGCUUGCAUUGAUUACGUCCCUGCCCUUUGUACACACCGCCCGUCGCUCCUACCGAUUGAAUGAUCCGAUGAAUAUCAUGGAUUGAGGAUGCAAGCAGGUUCGCCUGUCUUCAUCUUCGAGAAGUGAAGUAAAUUUUAUCAUUUAGAGGAAGGAGAAGUCGUAACA
This 329-nucleotide ribosomal RNA is filed under the name uncultured eukaryote. RNAcentral's name for it is "partial 18S ribosomal RNA". It matches the Rfam family "Eukaryotic small subunit ribosomal RNA", at positions 1470 to 1796 of the family's 1831-position model. The record is from RNAcentral.